AGCGAACGCUGGCGGCAGGCUUAACACAUGCAAGUCGAGCGGGCAUCCUUGUGGUGUCAGCGGCAGACGGGUGAGUAACGCGUGGGAACGUGCCCUUCGGUUCGGAAUAACUCAGGGAAACUUGAGCUAAUACCGGAUACGCCCUUUUGGGGAAAGGUUUACUGCCGAAGGAUCGGCCCGCGUCUGAUUAGCUAGUUGGUGAGGUUAUGGCUCACCAAGGCGACGAUCAGUAGCUGGUCUGAGAGGAUGAUCAGCCACACUGGGACUGAGACACGGCCCAGACUCCUACGGGAGGCAGCAGUGGGGAAUAUUGGACAAUGGGGGCAACCCUGAUCCAGCCAUGCCGCGUGAGUGAUGACGGCCUUAGGGUUGAAAAGCUCUUUUCUCCGGGACGAUAAUGACGGUACCGGAGGAAUAAGCCCCGGCUAACUUCGUG
Molecule: ribosomal RNA, 436 nt
Filed under: uncultured bacterium
Lineage: Bacteria
Description: partial 16S ribosomal RNA
Rfam family: Bacterial small subunit ribosomal RNA
Source: RNAcentral